UUCCUACGGGACGCAGCAGUAGGGAAUCUUCCACAAUGGGCGAAACCCUGAUGCAGCGAUGCCGCGUGGAGGAAGAAGGUUUUCGGAUUGUAAACUCCUUUUAUCAGGGACGAUAAUGACGGUACCUGAAGAAAAAGCUCCGGCUAACUACGUGCCAGCAGCCGCGGUAAUACGUAGGGAGCGAGCGUUGUCCGGAAUUACUGGGUGUAAAGGGAGCGUAGGCGGGACGGCAAGUCAGAUGUGAAAACUGAGGGCUCAACCUUCAGACUGCAUUUGAAACUGCUGUUCUUGAGUGAAGUAGAGGU
Molecule: ribosomal RNA, 305 nt
Filed under: uncultured bacterium
Lineage: Bacteria
Description: bacterial SSU rRNA
Rfam family: Bacterial small subunit ribosomal RNA
Source: RNAcentral